UAUGAACCUUUCUUGAGUCUUCUUUGUCUUCUCGGAGCUCACAGCCAGCCAUGGAAAGGCUGAGCCAGCUUGGAUCCACCGGAUCUGAGGAUCACCCCCAAGCUCCCCCUCGGUUUCCAACUUCCUGGUCGUUACCUGCACGCACUCAUGGCUGGGGCGGUGCUUGGUUUGGAUCCCCGUGUGCCUCAUCGAUCUCCCGGGCCGGUCAAUGGGAGUAGGGCCCUAACAGCAGCCGCGUGAUGGAGGAUGCGAGCUCGUCGAACUCGCGGUUCCUUUCCAGUCUGCGUCCAUGGAGGCGAUGAAGUAGUGGAUCUCGUUCCCCUUAGCUCCUGCGCGAUUUUGGGAAUCUUGGGGGUGUUGUCCGUCCCCAAGCGCCAAGCCGGAGGCGUCAAUGCUGUUCCCAAGCGAGCAGCCUACGCAUCGUAUUCAUCCUCAACUGCCGCAUCCCGGCUUCGGCAUUGCAUUCUUCCACUUACAGGAAUGAUUAUGCGGAUCAGGCAUGUUACGGAUUUACAUAACCAAGUGAGUACACCUCCUUUUUGAUUCUAUUGUCAUUAUAAACAAAUGCCUCCUUUAUCAAUUCCUUUUGAUACUAAAAAAAGUCUAAGUACAUAUUAGAACAGAAGAUGUAAUAUCAAUAGAAUUUGCACACAUUUAUAUUAAGAUGAGCACGACUAAACAUUCAUAGUCUUCAAAGUGGAUUUGUCUGCAUGCACACAUAAUAAGUUAAAUCCAUGUUCUCAUGGACUCUAAAGUAAACGCAAUUGUAUGCCAAUGCAAAUUACUACUCUCCGUUCACAAAUAUAAGAUGUUUCGGAUAUUUCAAUAUGCACUACAUACAGACUGAAAUGAGUGAACAAACAUACUAAAACAUGUCUAUAUACAUCCAAUUCACAAAAAAAUUGGAACAUCUUAUAUUUUUGAACAAAGGGAGUACGAAGUAUAUAGAGUAUCUAGAAUAUAUUUGUAUAAGUACAACCAGGGGAUUAAGUUGUUGUUUAGCACUUGCUACUGCCUUGUUCUAGCUUGUGUUCCUUCCAGGUGCUUUCCUAAUCCUCUUGUCUUCUGUCGAUUCUUUUCUCCUAUUUUUGCAUUUCAUCCCUUUUUUGGUUUUUCAUGUAGAUUUUUAGUCCUAUUCGUUCACUAAAAUUUGAAUGUCAGUAACAUAAUUUCCCUGCUAGGCUAGCUUUAAUAGAAAAAUAAUUGUGUUCAGAGAUGCAUAUGGGGCAUUGUAGCAUCAAGGUGCUAGUGCAUUUCCGUUCGAACAUUUAAAAAUAUGUUCUUAAAUGAGAGUACCUCGUCAUUGAUACCGCCAAUGCUAAAAUGGUCAUGAUUUUCGUCCUGUCCUGCCUGUAAGGUAAGAUACUAUACCUUAUAGUUUGGAAUAUAAAAUAGUACAUUUGUUUUUCUUAAAUUAGAAAUGUAAAGUUUUGACAUGUGUAAAGUGUUCUUUCAGCUACUCUUUUAAAUUUGGUGUCGGUACGAAUUUUACCAUGUGUGAAGUUUCUUCAUAGUCUUUAUUUGAAUCAUCUUCUAAGUACAUGCGGACAUACUUUCUUUUCGAAAAUAUUUGCCUGCAUUUUUUGGAAAUUCGUAAAAUAACAACAAUUAUUUAACACAUGUAGAGAUGAGAAGUGAAAUACCUGAUCAUUGAGAAGUUUGUUCUCUGUAACCUUUUUUUGCUUCAUUCAUGACUUUUGUUCCUUGGAUUUCCAGUAUGCUUUAUAAAGAAAAUACUUGCAUUAUACUUUUGGUUAGCUAUUUUUACUAGUUUUCCAAUAUGGAUCCUGCUGGAGGUGGCUUGAUUUCGUGCAGAAGAUGGUAGCUGCUGGAGGUGGUGUUGUCGCUAGACGGAACUAAUGAUGUAGGUUGUGUCAUUGCUGGCUGGAGUUGAUCGGGCAAUCCUCAAUAUUAUGUACAAUGUUCUACAAACACAAUAGUGGUAAAUGGAAGUAAAAGUAAGUGGCUUGCCGAAUUGAGCUUAAACCUGUUAGUUGGGCAUAUUUUGGCAACGCAAAUAUAAACUUAUAUAUGUGCUAUUAAUUAGAGCAAAGGGGAUUCAUGAAAAGGACGGGUGCAUAUGAACCUCUAGGUGUGCUACAGAGUAUUAUUAUCAAUUAAAGAACAUACCAGUUCUUGGAAAAAAGAGGCAUGCAUGCAAAGGUUUUAGAGGAUCGAUCUAAUACCUGACUCGGCUUGGGUUCCCGUUGCAUAGCGCAAUGGCAAUUCCGAUGAAGAUGGUGCCCGCGCUAGGACAUCCCAGUUCUUUUUUACUGACCCGUCAGGUCUAACACUUCUGGCUGCUUGUCAGGUCCAACAUCCGCGUCAAGCAGCCGCGCGUCGUUGCGAUGGGAGAAGUCGGUUUUCAGUCCAUCAUGAAGUACGUAUGCGUCCAGGUCGGCGCUUUGUGGGCAGACCUUUAAAAUUCAGGACAUCUUGGAGGAGAACGGCAGGGUUCUUUCCAGGAAGCUUGGGUGUGUCGGCGUAGCAGGAGUACCUGAGUGAAUCUUGAAGGAGAUCUUUCUUUUUGGUAAACUAUCUGUGCCGAAGAUAGCUCCCUAUGUAUUUGAUACAAUGGAUGUAAAUCUUUUACUAUGUAGAUGUCCAUCGGUACUCUAAUCUAUUAGUAAUGAAACAAUAGUUUCUUACUA
This is an RNA transcript of Triticum aestivum (bread wheat), 2651 nucleotides long. RefSeq lists it as uncharacterized. The record is from RefSeq and is a predicted model, not a curated record. NCBI's taxonomy places the organism in Eukaryota, Viridiplantae, Streptophyta, Magnoliopsida, Poales, Poaceae. The transcript is spliced from 2 exons.